Molecule: ribosomal RNA, 489 nt
Filed under: uncultured bacterium
Lineage: Bacteria
Description: partial 16S ribosomal RNA
Rfam family: Bacterial small subunit ribosomal RNA
Source: RNAcentral
UUGAACGCUGGCGGCAUGCCUUACCCAUGCAAGUCGAACGGCAGCAUGAUCUAGCUUGCUCGAUUGAUGGCGAGUGGCGAACGGGUGAGUAAUACAUCGGAACGUGCCCUGUAGUGGGGGAUAACUAGUCGAAAGAUUAGCUAAUACCGCAUACGACCUGAGGGUGAAAGUGGGGGACCGCAAGGCCUCAUGCUAUAGGAGCGGCCGAUGUCUGAUUAGCUAGUUGGUGAGGUAAAGGCUCACCAAGGCGACGAUCAGUAGCUGGUCUGAGAGGACGAUCAGCCACACUGGGACUGAGACACGGCCCAGACUCCUACGGGAGGCAGCAGUGGGGAAUUUUGGACAAUGGGCGAAAGCCUGAUCCAGCAAUGCCGCGUGUGUGAAGAAGGCCUUCGGGUUGUAAAGCACUUUUGUCCGGAAAGAAAUGGCUCUGGUUAAUACCUGGGGUCGAUGACGGUACCGGAAGAAUAAGGACCGGCUAACUACGUG